CGGUUGAAGCCUUGGGUGCACAUCACUGCCGGAGCCUGCCAAGGCCCCCGCUCGGACACAGCCAGACAAUACCGCUCAUCUUCUAGAGCGUGGAGGCACACAGACACAAAUCACUGAGAACAUCCUUGUUCCCCAAGGCAGAGAGCUCCCUGACGUUAUUUUGAAUAA
Nothoprocta perdicaria is the source of this 168-nucleotide long non-coding RNA. RefSeq lists it as uncharacterized. NCBI's taxonomy places the organism in Eukaryota, Metazoa, Chordata, Aves, Tinamiformes, Tinamidae. The transcript is spliced from 3 exons. The record is from RefSeq and is a predicted model, not a curated record.